This 608-nucleotide ribosomal RNA is filed under the name Meyerozyma guilliermondii. RNAcentral describes it as "eukaryotic LSU rRNA". It matches the Rfam family "Eukaryotic large subunit ribosomal RNA", at positions 1 to 633 of the family's 3401-position model. The record is from RNAcentral. Lineage: Eukaryota; Fungi; Ascomycota; Pichiomycetes; Serinales; Debaryomycetaceae.
GAAAAAAAAUUUUUUUUUCCCCUUUUUAUAGGGGAAAAGAAACCAACAGGGAUCGCCUUAGUAGCGGCGAGUGAAGCGGCAAAAGCUCAAAUUUGAAAUCUGGCACCUUCGGUGUCCGAGUUGUAAUUUGAAGAUCGUAACCUCGGGGUUGGCUCUCGUCUAUGUUUCUUGGAACAGGACGUCACAGAGGGUGAGAAUCCCGUGCGAUGAGAUGCCCAAUCCUAUGUAAGGUGCUUUCGAAGAGUCGAGUUGUUAGGGAAUGCAGCUCUAAGUGGGUGGUAAAUUCCAUCUAAAGCUAAAUAUUGGCGAGAGACCGAUAGCGAACAAGUACAGUGACGGAAAGAUGAAAAGAACUUUGAAAAGAGAGUGAAAAAGUACGUGAAAUCGUUGAAAGGGAAGGGUUUGAGAUCAGACUCGAUAUUUUGUGAGCCUUGCCUUCGUGGCGGGGUGACCCGCAGCUUAUCGGGCCAGCAUCGGUUUGGGCGGUAGGAUAAUGGCGUAGGAAUGUGACUUUGCUUCGGUGAAGUGUUAUAGCCUGCGUCGAUGCUGCCAGCCUAGGACCGAGGACUGCGAUCUAUCAUGCGUGCUGCGUCUGUCCCACUGUAGGU